This 63-nucleotide transfer RNA is filed under the name Perkinsus olseni. RNAcentral's name for it is "tRNA-Thr". It matches the Rfam family "tRNA", at positions 7 to 64 of the family's 71-position model. Rfam says of the family: Transfer RNA (tRNA) molecules are approximately 80 nucleotides in length. Their secondary structure includes four short double-helical elements and three loops (D, anti-codon, and T loops). The record is from RNAcentral. Lineage: Eukaryota; Perkinsozoa; Perkinsida; Perkinsidae.
UUAGCUUAGUUGGUAGAGCACCCGCUUAGUAAGCGGGAGGUCGUCGGUUCAACUCCGGCAGAA